This 342-nucleotide long non-coding RNA is filed under the name Apteryx rowi (Okarito brown kiwi). RNAcentral describes it as "lncRNA (ENSARWG00000017475.1)". The record is from RNAcentral. Lineage: Eukaryota; Metazoa; Chordata; Aves; Apterygiformes; Apterygidae.
CUCCUUUAAGCCUCCCCUGGUUGCUGGUGUCUUGUCUCACAAGCUGAAAAGGAGUUGGCGUGUCUCAAAGUCUCCGUGACAUCUCAGCUGGAGCAGCCACUUGGAGCAAGUUCCCCCCCGGUGCAGCGGGCUCUGGCAGCGAGCAGCCCCAGAUGGAUGGAUGGAUGGACAGACGGACGGGCGGCAUGGUCCCUGUGAGGCGCACAAGUGCUCGUUAACUUCAGCAGAACUUGGCGACGGACCAAGCCCUGAAGAGGCCCCGCGGCUCUGCCCACAGGACCGUGUCUCGCAAGGGAGGGCGAAGUGCUUUGCUGUGCCUGGUAUUUAUCUUUUAUAUUUGGC